UGGGGGAUAUUGCACAAUGGGCGAAAGCCUGAUGCAGCGACGCCGCGUGGGGGAUGAAGGCCUUCGGGUUGUAAACUUCUUUUGCUCUGAACAAGGCAUGCUAAUGGGUGUGUUGAGUGUAGGGGUUGAUUAGCGCCGGCUAACUACGUGCCAGCAGCCGCGGUAAUACGUAGGGCGCGAGCGUUGUCCGGAAUUAUUGGGCGUAAAGGGCUUGUAGGUGGCUGGUUGCGUCUGUCGUGAAAGCUCAUGGCUUAACUGUGGGUUUGCGGUGGGUACUGUCUGGCUUGAGUGCAGUAGGGGAGGCUGGAAUUCCUGGUGUAGCGGUGGAAUGCGCAGAUAUCAGGAGGAAUACCGGUGGCGAAGGCGGGUCUCUGGGCUGUUACUGACACUGAGGAGCGAAAGCAUGGGGAGCGAACAGG
RNAcentral lists this ribosomal RNA (419 nucleotides) under bacterium. RNAcentral's name for it is "partial 16S ribosomal RNA". It matches the Rfam family "Bacterial small subunit ribosomal RNA", at positions 355 to 776 of the family's 1533-position model. The record is from RNAcentral.